GUUUCCGUAGGUGAACCUGCGGAAGGAUCAUUGCACACACGAGUUGCAGCCAACCCGCGGCGAACGAACACAUUGUCCCCCUUCGGUGGGUCGCGGCGCCUCGCGGCGUCGCGGUCUGCCACCUCCCUGCGUCGCGCUCGCGGCGCGGGGUGUCCACACGAUGCGUCCACCGAAUGACUGAGUCCCGAAUCGACUCGAGAGGAUUGAGCUCCGCGGCCCCCCUCCCCGGGGGGCCGGCGCCGGUCACCUUGCGAGUUGGAACACGUAAGCCGAACAACUCUCAGCAACGGAUAUCUUGGCUCUUGCAACGAUGAAGAACGCAGCGAAAUGCGAUACGUAUUGUGAAUUGCAGAAGUCCGCGAAUCAUCGAGUUUUUGAACUCAAGUUGCGCCCGAGGCUUUUCCGAGGGCAUUUCCGCUAGAGCGUCACCGCGACCCCCCCCACCGACCCACUCCCGAGUGAGUGUCGAGUGAAAGUGGCCAUCCCGGCGGCCUCCCCCUCCUCCUUCGAGAGGAGGGGGCUUAGGGUCUUAAGGGUUGGCUGAAAUGGAAGGAAUCGGGCCGCCGUGGUGACCCAGCCCGCGAUCAGGUGAUCCGGACUCUUCCGGGAGUCCCGGACUUCGAAGUGCGUGGCUGCGUCCCCCAGUCGGUUCGUGGUUCCCUCACGCAGGUCGAGCGCGCCCCCGCGGCGCGCGUCACGCAUCAGACCUCUAAUCGGGAAAGACCACCCGCUGAG
Molecule: ribosomal RNA, 735 nt
Rfam family: 5.8S ribosomal RNA (bases 276-428)